GGCUUAAUGGUCUAGCGGUAUGAUUCUCGCUUUGGGUGCGAGAGGUCCCGGGUUCAAUCCCCGGUUGAGCCC
Molecule: transfer RNA, 72 nt
Filed under: Fusarium pseudograminearum
Lineage: Eukaryota; Fungi; Ascomycota; Sordariomycetes; Hypocreales; Nectriaceae
Also listed under: 1 other name
Description: tRNA-Pro (TGG) (tRNA-Pro-TGG-1-1)
Rfam family: tRNA
About the family: Transfer RNA (tRNA) molecules are approximately 80 nucleotides in length.
Source: RNAcentral